UUUAGAAGCAGCUCACACAUUCUGAAUUAAAUACUGUGUAUAAAUAAACAAGAUGACAGUUAUAGUCACUGAAACACUUGAGUGCAUAAUUGUCUGCACUGAGAUCUAAUUUAGUGUUGUAUCAAAUUUUAUUAAGCGAAGCUGAAGGGGGAACUAACUUGAAUUGCAAAAAUCUUCUCUUUUUCAGAUGAAAUACAGCAGCUGUCCAAUAAAUGCAGCCAGGACAACUGGGUCAUCAGCUGUUUUUUAAACUUUUGGAAACAAGCAGGGGUGAAAAAUGUCCUUUCGAUGCAGCAUUAAGGGAGACAAGAUAUCCUUUUUAUCUAAGUGGACAGAGAAAUAUAGGAGAAAAGGACUUAAAUUAUCAAUAUGGUGUGAGUUUUGAGUUUCUGAGGAUCUACCCUCAUUUGGAGAAAUACAGGUCUUGAUGCUUGGCAUUUCCUAGCGUGGAGUGGCUGUA
Molecule: long non-coding RNA, 460 nt
Organism: Lontra canadensis (Northern American river otter)
Lineage: Eukaryota; Metazoa; Chordata; Mammalia; Carnivora; Mustelidae
Exons: 3
Source: RefSeq, a predicted model, not a curated record